Molecule: ribosomal RNA, 1372 nt
Filed under: uncultured bacterium
Lineage: Bacteria
Description: bacterial SSU rRNA
Rfam family: Bacterial small subunit ribosomal RNA
Source: RNAcentral
GAUGAACGCUGGCGGCGUGCCUAAUACAUGCAAGUCGAGCGAACGGACGAGAAGCUUGCUUCUCUGAUGUUAGCGGCGGACGGGUGAGUAACACGUGGAUAACCUACCUAUAAGACUGGGAUAACUUCGGGAAACCGGAGCUAAUACCGGAUAAUAUUUUGAACCGCAUGGUUCAAAAGUGAAAGACGGUCUUGCUGUCACUUAUAGAUGGAUCCGCGCUGCAUUAGCUAGUUGGUAAGGUAACGGCUUACCAAGGCAACGAUGCAUAGCCGACCUGAGAGGGUGAUCGGCCACACUGGAACUGAGACACGGUCCAGACUCCUACGGGAGGCAGCAGUAGGGAAUCUUCCGCAAUGGGCGAAAGCCUGACGGAGCAACGCCGCGUGAGUGAUGAAGGUCUUCGGAUCGUAAAACUCUGUUAUUAGGGAAGAACAUAUGUGUAAGUAACUGUGCACAUCUUGACGGUACCUAAUCAGAAAGCCACGGCUAACUACGUGCCAGCAGCCGCGGUAAUACGUAGGUGGCAAGCGUUAUCCGGAAUUAUUGGGCGUAAAGCGCGCGUAGGCGGUUUUUUAAGUCUGAUGUGAAAGCCCACGGCUCAACCGUGGAGGGUCAUUGGAAACUGGAAAACUUGAGUGCAGAAGAGGAAAGUGGAAUUCCAUGUGUAGCGGUGAAAUGCGCAGAGAUAUGGAGGAACACCAGUGGCGAAAGCGACUCUCUGGUCUGUAACUGACGCUGAUGUGCGAAAGCGUGGGGAUCAAACAGGAUUAGAUACCCUGGUAGUCCACGCCGUAAACGAUGAGUGCUAAGUGUUAGGGGGUUUCCGCCCCUUAGUGCUGCAGCUAACGCAUUAAGCACUCCGCCUGGGGAGUACGACCGCAAGGUUGAAACUCAAAGGAAUUGACGGGGACCCGCACAAGCGGUGGAGCAUGUGGUUUAAUUCGAAGCAACGCGAAGAACCUUACCAAAUCUUGACAUCCUUUGACAACUCUAGAGAUAGAGCCUUCCCCUUCGGGGGACAAAGUGACAGGUGGUGCAUGGUUGUCGUCAGCUCGUGUCGUGAGAUGUUGGGUUAAGUCCCGCAACGAGCGCAACCCUUAAGCUUAGUUGCCAUCAUUAAGUUGGGCACUCUAAGUUGACUGCCGGUGACAAACCGGAGGAAGGUGGGGAUGACGUCAAAUCAUCAUGCCCCUUAUGAUUUGGGCUACACACGUGCUACAAUGGACAAUACAAAGGGCAGCGAAACCGCGAGGUCAAGCAAAUCCCAUAAAGUUGUUCUCAGUUCGGAUUGUAGUCUGCAACUCGACUACAUGAAGCUGGAAUCGCUAGUAAUCGUAGAUCAGCAUGCUACGGUGAAUACGUUCCCGGGCCU